This 78-nucleotide small RNA is filed under the name Salmonella enterica subsp. enterica serovar Bareilly str. CFSAN000236. RNAcentral's name for it is "isrK". It matches the Rfam family "isrK Hfq binding RNA". Lineage: Bacteria; Pseudomonadati; Pseudomonadota; Gammaproteobacteria; Enterobacterales; Enterobacteriaceae. The record is from RNAcentral.
GUUGCUGCAAAAUCAGCAACCGGGCGUGGAAACCCGUGUUACAUAUCGGCGACAUCAGACGCCUUAAGCGUCUUUUUU